UGGCAUGUAGCUCAGAUGGCAGAGCACCCGGCUGUUAACCGGGCGGUCGCAGGUUCGAUCUCUGCCGUGCCAGCCA
RNAcentral lists this transfer RNA (76 nucleotides) under Stutzerimonas frequens. Its description in RNAcentral is "tRNA-Asn". It matches the Rfam family "tRNA". Rfam says of the family: Transfer RNA (tRNA) molecules are approximately 80 nucleotides in length. The record is from RNAcentral. Lineage: Bacteria; Pseudomonadati; Pseudomonadota; Gammaproteobacteria; Pseudomonadales; Pseudomonadaceae.